GACAGAGGGUGCAAACGUUGUUCGGAAUUACUGGGCGUAAAGCGCGUGUAGGCGGCUAAGUAAGUCGGGCGUGAAAUCCCACGGCUCAACCGUGGAAGUGCACUCGAAACUGCAUAGCUAGAGUCCUGGAGAGGAAGGCGGAAUGCUUGGUGUAGAGGUGAAAUUCGUAGAUAUCAAGCGGAACACCGGUGGCGAAGGCGGCCUUCUGGACAGUGACUGACGCUGAGACGCGAAAGCGUGGGGAGCAAACAGG
This 253-nucleotide ribosomal RNA is filed under the name uncultured bacterium. Its description in RNAcentral is "partial 16S ribosomal RNA". It matches the Rfam family "Bacterial small subunit ribosomal RNA", at positions 524 to 776 of the family's 1533-position model. The record is from RNAcentral.